UCCGGUUGGUGACUCCAUGUACACACAGAGUGUGGACUCAUAAGUUAUAGGAAACAGUCCCUGAACAGAAAAAGCUGUAACUGGAGAAGACAGCACAAGUGAAAUGGGUGUAACAGAGACAAAGACAGCUGGAUUUAUUUCUAGCUGAGAGAAAUGUUAGUAGGUGACUUUAUGCUGGUCAAACCUGAGAUACUCUGUCUUCCAGGAUGGCCUGUACGUUAGGUACGAGACAUUCCAGGAAAGACACUUUGAAUCCAUGAUACAGACAGUGGACAGAAUACUGAGUCAGCAACUGGAUUACCAAAACGGACUGGAAGAUUACAGGGACAUCUGUAAACCUCACAUAUACACUGAGGAAGGAGAACUAGAACAAAGUGACUCCUGCUCUGUCUCCACUGGCGGUGAGGACUUGCCUGUUAAUUUUUUGAACACUCUUGGACCAAAGUUUUCUGCUCUGGAAGAAAUCUGUGAGAAGCGAUUUCCAUCAUUCAAUUAAUUUCAGAAGGCUGUGCCUACUUUAUGGUGUUGCGAAGACUUUGGCAGAAGCACUGAAAAAUUGGGAGAAAAAGACCCAUCCGCGCUGGAAAGCGCUGCGGUGUCUGCACCACGGGGACCUGCCUUUGACUCUUCCUGCUGCGCUGCUCACACGCAGCCGCCAAGAACCUGAGUGUCCGGAGGGUCCACUCUGCUCUGAAGAGACAAUGGAGUGAUUUUGGCAUAUUCUGUGCAGACUUACACAAAUGGAAGAUCUGAUAUUAAGGAUCCUCACUAUUGUAAACAAAGGCAUAAGAGACAUCUACUAGGCUAGAAAUUCCAGUCCAAGUUCCAUAUGGAAAUAUGGCAGCUGUGAACGGAGAAGGCAAUUACCAGCCAGGCUGGUGAUGCAGUCUGUUCUGGUCCCUUUAAAUCCAAGACUAACUUCAAUACGGUACCAUGCGGGUCUGACUUGCUGAUCAGAUCUUUUACUCCGAUAUGACAUUGAAAUAUCUAAGAGGAAAUGCUCUUCUACUCCUAGUGUGACUGUAACUGCAUCGCAACCUGAGGUCUGCACCGUACUGGCCUUCUAGCAUAAAGCAGGCACUUACUCAGUGCCCAUUUGCUUAUGCUGGCAUCUGGUGGCUCUUAGUAUUAUUACACUGUUGUAAAUACUGUAAAUGCUACCAAGUGUGUGCAGUUGACUUCUGCUCAGUUAUAGCUUGAUGGCUGUCGGUGUUAAAAUGAGGGAAGAAUAGCUCAGAAGAUCCUGUUCUGCUAUUAGGUAAGUGAUACAGAUAAUAAGAGAUGGAAUUAGUCCCAGAUUUUACUUCUGUUCUUUUACAGUUUUGUCCUGAAAGAAACAUUCUUUGCCCAGGGCAAGCACUAAGUCUGGUAGCUAAGGCACUGUUCUUCUGUUUCAAAGUUUUCUUAAAGAAUAAAUUAUGCUUUUGCUCAGAUGUUAUUAACUAA
Molecule: long non-coding RNA, 1446 nt
Filed under: Calidris pygmaea (Spoon-billed sandpiper)
Lineage: Eukaryota; Metazoa; Chordata; Aves; Charadriiformes; Scolopacidae
Description: lncRNA (ENSCPGG00000006312.1)
Source: RNAcentral